Molecule: ribosomal RNA, 497 nt
Filed under: uncultured bacterium
Lineage: Bacteria
Description: partial 16S ribosomal RNA
Rfam family: Bacterial small subunit ribosomal RNA
Source: RNAcentral
GAUGAACGCUGGCAGCGUGCCUAAUACAUGCAAGUCGAGCGAACAGACGAGGAGCUUGCUCCUCUGACGUUAGCGGCGGACGGGUGAGUAACACGUGGAUAACCUACCUAUAAGACUGGGAUAACUUCGGGAAACCGGAGCUAAUACCGGAUAACAUGUUGAACCGCAUGGUUCAACAGUGAAAGACGGUCUUGCUGUCACUUAUAGAUGGAUCCGCGCCGCAUUAGCUAGUUGGUAAGGUAACGGCUUACCAAGGCAACGAUGCGUAGCCGACCUGAGAGGGUGAUCGGCCACACUGGAACUGAGACACGGUCCAGACUCCUACGGGAGGCAGCAGUAGGGAAUCUUCCGCAAUGGGCGAAAGCCUGACGGAGCAACGCCGCGUGAGUGAUGAAGGUCUUCGGAUCGUAAAACUCUGUUAUUAGGGAAGAACAAAUGUGUAAGUAACUAUGCACGUCUUGACGGUACCUAAUCAGAAAGCCACGGCUAACUACGUG